Molecule: transfer RNA, 75 nt
Filed under: Peptococcaceae bacterium 1109
Lineage: Bacteria; Bacillati; Bacillota; Clostridia; Eubacteriales; Peptococcaceae
Also listed under: 2 other names
Description: tRNA-Arg
Rfam family: tRNA
About the family: Transfer RNA (tRNA) molecules are approximately 80 nucleotides in length.
Source: RNAcentral
GCGCCUAUAGCUCAGCGGAUAGAGCACUGGCCUCCGGAGCCAGGAGCGCAGGUUCGAGUCCUGCUAGGCGCACCA